Molecule: ribosomal RNA, 238 nt
Filed under: uncultured Acanthamoeba
Lineage: Eukaryota; Discosea; Longamoebia; Acanthamoebidae
Description: partial 18S ribosomal RNA
Rfam family: Eukaryotic small subunit ribosomal RNA
Source: RNAcentral
CUCAUUAAAUCAGUUAUAGUUUAUUUGAUGGUCUCUUUUGUCUUUUUUUACCUACUUGGAUAACCGUGGUAAUUCUAGAGCUAAUACAUGCGCAAGGUCCCGAGCGCGGGGGAUGGGGCUUCACGGCUCUGUCCUCGCAUGCGCAGAGGGAUGUAUUUAUUAGGUUAAAAACCAGCGUAGCCAGCAAUGGCUACAAUCUCCUGGUGAUUCAUAGUAACUCUUUCGGAUCACAUUCAUG